Molecule: ribosomal RNA, 467 nt
Filed under: uncultured bacterium
Lineage: Bacteria
Description: partial 16S ribosomal RNA
Rfam family: Bacterial small subunit ribosomal RNA
Source: RNAcentral
GAUGAACGCUGGCGGCGCGCCUAACACAUGCGAGUCGAACGAUUAAAGCACCUUCGGGUGUGUAUAAAGUGGCGAACGGCUGAGUAACACGUGGGCAACCUGCCCCUUUCAUUGGGAUAGCCACGGGAAACCGUGGAUAAUACCGAAUACUUCGAGACUUCCGCAUGGAAGACUCGAGAAAGCUCCGGCGGAGAGGGAUGGGCCCGCGGCCUGUUAGCUUGUUGGUGGGGUAACGGCCUACCAAGGCAAUGAUGGGUAGCUGGGUUGAGAGACCGACCAGCCAGAUUGGGACUGAGACACGGCCCAGACUCCUACGGGAGGCAGCAGUGGGGAAUCUUGCACAAUGGGCGAAAGCCUGAUGCAGCGACGCUGCGUGCGGGAUGAAGGCCUUCGGGUUGUAAACCGCUUUCAGCAGGGACGAGGCGAAAGUGACGGUACCUGCAGAAGAAGCCCCGGCUAACUACGUG